RNAcentral lists this transfer RNA (72 nucleotides) under Trichonephila inaurata madagascariensis. It matches the Rfam family "tRNA". From Rfam's summary of the family: Transfer RNA (tRNA) molecules are approximately 80 nucleotides in length. Their secondary structure includes four short double-helical elements and three loops (D, anti-codon, and T loops). Lineage: Eukaryota; Metazoa; Arthropoda; Arachnida; Araneae; Nephilidae. The record is from Rfam by way of RNAcentral.
GUCCGCGUGGCCUAAUGGAUAAGGCGUCUGACUUCGAAUCAGAAGAUUGAGGUUCGAAUCCUGUGGCGGACG